UACGGAGGGUGCAAGCGUUAUCCGGAUUCACUGGGUUUAAAGGGUGCGUAGGCGGACUUGUAAGUCAGUGGUGAAAUCUCUUUGCUUAACAAAGAAACUGCCAUUGAUACUGCAGGUCUAGAGUAUAGAUGACGUUGGCGGAAUAUGACAUGUAGUGGUGAAAUACUUAGAUAUGUCAUAGAACACCGAUUGCGAAGGCAGCUAACGAAACUAUAACUGACGCUGAGGCACGAAAGUGCGGGGAUCAAACAGG
This 253-nucleotide ribosomal RNA is filed under the name uncultured bacterium. RNAcentral describes it as "partial 16S ribosomal RNA". It matches the Rfam family "Bacterial small subunit ribosomal RNA", at positions 524 to 776 of the family's 1533-position model. The record is from RNAcentral.